Molecule: small RNA, 1491 nt
Filed under: Pongo abelii (Sumatran orangutan)
Lineage: Eukaryota; Metazoa; Chordata; Mammalia; Primates; Hominidae
Description: retained intron
Source: RNAcentral
AAAUCUGUACAGGAUACUGAUUGCCUGCUUCUGAACUGUGGGUAUGGUUGGCUGUGGAUAAUGUAGAACAUCUAAGAAAUGAUGGUCUGCUGCAUGUAUCAGGCCACAUCUAAGAGUCUUAUUGUUGAGCACAGCUACAUUUACACUGAAUAUAAGCUUUAUUCACCAUUCCAGGCCUUGACCUUAUAUUCAAGAAUGGCAGCCUGGCAUGGUGAGUAGAACUUAUUAGGGUGCAUCGUAGAUUUGCUCAGUAGGGGCUCAAGAAUUGACACAAAUACCGACGGAGUUGGAACAAAUAAAUUAUGUGUCUGGAAGAUAAAUAUUUAAAUAAUUCGAUUAAGGGUGGAAAUGAUAAAAGUGUACUUUGUUAUAAAGAUUGGAGAUCCCAGUAAGAGUAAUAUGCUCUAUGAAAAAUUGUAAGUUCUUACAUUACUAGUUUAUGAGUACUUGUUACUGUUUUCACAUUUUUGCUUAUACUCAUACUGUACUCCUACUUUGCUGUACUCACACUGGUUUAUCUCCCAAGCCUCAGGUAGAUCAUGCUUCCCUGACUCCCCGAGACAGGUUUCUCCUGUACCCUCAAAACAUUUAUCAACGUUCUCAUUUUAUAUUUAUGUGUAAUUUUACAUUAUGUUCACCUUUCUCAUGAAUUUUGCUAGAUCAGGAACUGUGUCUUUGGCCACUGUUACAUCCCCAGAACGUUGACUAGUGUUUUAUGAGUAGAAGAUGCUCUGUGAACAUUUGUUUGGUUAAUUAAUUAGGUACCAGUUUGGUAGCCAAAAUAUGGUACUAAAGGUUUAUAUUGUGAAUGUGGAACUGUAUUGAAACAUUAAUGUUAUUGCUGCCAUCCCCAGGGCAAUAGUCUGACCUUGAUUGACCUUCCCGGCCAUGAGAGUUUGAGGCUUCAGUUCUUAGAGCGGUUUAAGUCUUCAGCCAGGGCUAUUGUGUUUGUUGUGGAUAGUGCAGCAUUCCAGCGAGAGGUGAAAGAUGUGGCUGAGUUUCUGUAUCAAGUCCUCACUGACAGUAUGGGUCUGAAGAAUACACCAUCAUUCUUAAUAGCCUGCAAUAAGCAAGAUAUUGCAAUGGCAAAAUCAGCAAAGUUAAUUCAACAGCAGCUGGAGAAAGAACUCAACACCUUACGAGUUACCCGUUCUGCUGCCCCCAGCACACUGGACAGUUCCAGCACUGCCCCUGCUCAGCUGGGGAAGAAAGGCAAAGAGUUUGAAUUCUCACAGUUGCCCCUCAAAGUGGAGUUCCUGGAGUGCAGUGCCAAGGGUGGAAGAGGGGACGUGGGCUCUGCUGACAUCCAGGACUUGGAGAAAUGGCUGGCUAAAAUUGCCUGAGAGGCAGCUCAAAAGCACAAGACCUGGAUGUGUGACACACAGUUUUGGAAAAAGGUCUGUGGUAGUCUGGAGUUGAUGAGGAAGGGGUACAAUACAAGAUGUGGUUAGAAACAUUUCCUUGUUCUGGAAACAAAGUACUGUUGAAACU